RNAcentral lists this long non-coding RNA (1316 nucleotides) under Betta splendens (Siamese fighting fish). RNAcentral describes it as "lncRNA (ENSBSLG00000019715.1)". Lineage: Eukaryota; Metazoa; Chordata; Actinopteri; Anabantiformes; Osphronemidae. The record is from RNAcentral.
UUGUUGUUUUUUUAUUAUUUUGGAUGUUCACAGGACAACUGUGUAACAUCCAGAGAGUCUUUUGAAUCUCCUCUCUAGAGACACGCAUAGGAUCACAAAACAAGGUGAGCAGUUUGCGGGCGGGUGUAUUCUCGCUGCACAUCUCUCCAGUUUGCUUCAAGAAAACAGUGUCAGGAUGUUGUGUGGGAGGAUGCUCCUCGGCGGAUGAGAGGGAUUACCAAAAAUGCAUUCUUAUUAUAAUCUUCAGGCUCAGUGACGGAUCCACUCCCACAGUAGCUAAAACGGGCUUCUUGCUGUUUACAGGCAGCGGCUGAAGGGAAAGCUGAGCCCUGGAGGAUGAAGCCGGUGCGUGAUGCUGGUGCAGAUGCAGAGGAAGAGGCCAGGGCCCGGCGUCAGACUCAGCUGGAGCAGGUGGAUAAAACCUGGAUUCAUCCUUCAAAACAUUAAAGAGACUUGAUGAUAUUCAAAACUGUGCAGCUGAACCAGACAAACAGAAGCACAUUGACCUCUGAUCAGUGAAUCAUAGUUCUCAGUAGCUUCCACGCAUAUUAGUCCGUCCUGAAACGCUGUUCUCUCCUUUUAGUUUGAGGCCUUUCUGUCCUUUGUUUAUCCUCCAGCGCCAUCUAGAGGCGUACAGGAACCUGCACCGGCUCAGAGACGCGCUCUAUCGGCGCUACGCUGCCUUGCUCAAAGACAAGGUGCAGUCACAGAGGUUACGGCUACAGCAGAGGCACGAGGCAGCAGUAAGGAAAACAGAAGGAGACGCUAAGCAGAAACCAAAGAAGUUGUCCUUCUCCAAGCUGCAGCACAAUGACUCAUACCUGAAGUCCCUCCCCCAGACCCGCUAUCACCUGGUAUGUCUCUCCCUUGUACAGCUCGAUUUAAGUGACACAUUUGCAUCGUUCUUUAUAAAUACGUCACGUUUCUUCUCUGAGGUCCUCGACCUUCAGACCCAGUUGGCAGAGCAAGGUCAUCUGAAAACCCACCACGACUUGGAGGAAUUUUACAGAUGCAUCAAGUAUAACGACCACCCGUCAGAGCUGCAGAGGAGCCUGCAGGACGUCAGGACAAGCAGUUACGUCACACCUGUAGAUAUGUGCAUUGAUUUAUUCCUUAUGAGAUCAGGAUCAGCACUGUCAAAACGGUGCACGUGACUAUGUUGAUAUAUUGUUGUCAGUGCUGGGAACGAAGACACCGGAAAAAGCUCCCUGCACCGGUGAAGAGAGAGGACACACGGGGGACGUCUCCCAGAGCAGGUGGUUGUUUCACGAGCUCCACUAAGUUCAAUAAAUGUCCAUCCAGCGCUAAUCUGCGCA